RNAcentral lists this ribosomal RNA (83 nucleotides) under Escherichia coli. RNAcentral describes it as "partial 16S ribosomal RNA". It matches the Rfam family "Bacterial small subunit ribosomal RNA", at positions 1 to 83 of the family's 1533-position model. RNAcentral also lists the same sequence under 1 other name. The record is from RNAcentral. Lineage: Bacteria; Pseudomonadati; Pseudomonadota; Gammaproteobacteria; Enterobacterales; Enterobacteriaceae.
AAAUUGAAGAGUUUGAUCAUGGCUCAGAUUGAACGCUGGCGGCAGGCCUAACACAUGCAAGUCGAACGGUAACAGAAAGCAGC